RNAcentral lists this ribosomal RNA (274 nucleotides) under uncultured Sebacina mycobiont of Lathyrus cicera. RNAcentral's name for it is "partial large subunit ribosomal RNA". The record is from RNAcentral. Lineage: Eukaryota; Fungi; Basidiomycota; Agaricomycetes; Sebacinales; Sebacinaceae.
GCGUUUGAAGUCAGUCACAUCUGUUGGGGUUCAGCCUGGCUUCUGCCUGGUGUAUUUCCUUUCCGAUGGGUCAGCAUCAGUUUCGACCGAGGGAAAAAGACAUUUGGAAUGUGGCUGUCUUCGGGCAGUGUUAUAGCCUUGUGUUGUAUGUCUCGGUUGGGACUGAGGAUUGCAGCGCGCCAUAAAUGGCCGGGGGUCGCUCCUCUCGACACGCGCUUAGGAUGCUGGCAUAAUGGCUUUAAGCGACCCGUCUUGAAACACGGACCAAGGAGUC